Podarcis lilfordi (Lilford's wall lizard) is the source of this 72-nucleotide non-coding RNA. Lineage: Eukaryota; Metazoa; Chordata; Lepidosauria; Squamata; Lacertidae. The record is from the annotation of a GenBank genome assembly.
GGACCAUAGAUCAGUGGUACAGCAGCUGCCCUGUCUGCAGUGAGGUCCCAGGUUCAAUUCCUGGCAUCUCCA